AAAACUAACAAACUUUACGACCUUCUAUCUAUUUUCGUAGCAUCAGCAAUACCAUUGAGCAUACACCAGAUGUAUACAAAGAUGGACGUAUGUCUACCGAGCUUCAAGCACGGUCAUAGUGACUUCAUUUACAGAAUUACCUCCAUCACUAGCUGAUACUGGCUCUCCACUGUUGUAACUUCUCUUCAUAAUGAAUGCAGGUUGAUUCGGAGACGGAAGAAUCGUAUGAUUACUCAGCAUGAAAACAACAGUGGUCAUUGCUGGCCUAUCCACUGCAGAUUCUUGGACACAUA
Molecule: long non-coding RNA, 293 nt
Filed under: Ricinus communis (castor bean)
Lineage: Eukaryota; Viridiplantae; Streptophyta; Magnoliopsida; Malpighiales; Euphorbiaceae
Description: long non-coding RNA (RCOM_LNC000998)
Source: RNAcentral